AUUAAACGCUGGCGGCAUGCCUUACACAUGCAAGUCGAACGGCUGCACGGGGCAACCUGGUGGCGAGUGGCGAACGGGUGAGUAAAGCAUCGGAACGUGCCCUGGAGUGGGGGAUAACGUAGCGAAAGUUACGCUAAUACCGCAUAUUCUGUGAGCAGGAAAGCAGGGGAUCGCAAGACCUUGCGCUCUGGGAGCGGCCGAUGUCGGAUUAGCUAGUUGGUGGGGUAAAGGCCUACCAAGGCGACGAUCCGUAGCGGGUCUGAGAGGAUGAUCCGCCACACUGGGACUGAGACACGGCCCAGACUCCUACGGGAGGCAGCAGUGGGGAAUUUUGGACAAUGGGCGGAAGCCUGAUCCAGCCAUGCCGCGUGAGUGAAGAAGGCCU
This 385-nucleotide ribosomal RNA is filed under the name uncultured bacterium. RNAcentral's name for it is "bacterial SSU rRNA". It matches the Rfam family "Bacterial small subunit ribosomal RNA", at positions 29 to 417 of the family's 1533-position model. The record is from RNAcentral.